Molecule: ribosomal RNA, 471 nt
Filed under: Triticum aestivum (bread wheat)
Lineage: Eukaryota; Viridiplantae; Streptophyta; Magnoliopsida; Poales; Poaceae
Description: partial small subunit ribosomal RNA
Source: RNAcentral
AUGCCCGAGGAGGUUGUGCUGCCGCCCACCGCCAAGGAAGAACCGAAGACGCCUGAGGUUGGCGACGACGAGCACAUGGAGGAGCUCCCCAGCAACAAGCGCCGCAACUACGACCACUACCAUGAGGAGGAUGGCCCAACUCACUUAUGUUCAUCCUUGCACCGAAGGUUUGAGUGCAUCCCCAUGCCCCUGGACUUCACCAAGCACUUCGUCGCAGUGUCGACGGAGUUCAAGCUCAGGAACAACACCGACUGCUCCUGGAAGGUGACGGUGAAGCUGAUGAACGGCAGGGUGACCCUGGAUCAGGGUUGGGCCACCUACGCAGCCGUUCAUCAGAUCAAGAUCGGCUACAUGCUGACGUUCAAGCUCCUCACUCCCGACACCUUCAAGGUCAUCAUCUUUGACGACGAUGACAUUGAGGUCGUCAACAAGUGCGGGAAGCACGACGAAGCCUUCGCCGCCAAGGACUAG